UCUUUCUUUCUUUCCAGUCCUGCCUCUUUUUCAUUUUUUCUCGACUGAAAUCUGAAGAGUGAAGAACAACAAUCCAUCGUUAACCACUUACCAUCAGUGUAGCGAAAUCAUAUAUUUCUUCUUCAAUCAACAACAACAAGUCAAGUGAAACCCUAAGACAAAGGAUUUGAUGAAUCUGUAAAUGGUGAAGCUCAAAGCACAAGACAUCUUACUGCUGGAUUGAUGGAUUAUUUUUAGCUACCGAUUUACUUAUGCGCUAAAGCUUUGAUGAUCAUACUUGAUUUACUUAUCUUUUAUGCAAUUCAUGGUUACUGAUUCCUGCUAUGUUCCUUGUUGGUAAUUUUGUAUGAAAUCUUUUUCUUGCCCCUUAGAAAUCCCUGAAAAACUUUGGUGAAAUCAUAUAACUUAGGUUCUAGGAAUCGAUCUAUAGAGAAUCCAUGACAUGAAUAGUGAUUGUGCUUUUGACUUUUGUAGAAACCAUAAAUUCAGAUUUGUUAGUUUCAUUUGAGAAUACUUGGUGGCUUUAGUAGUAAAGCUGUAUUUUCUUUGGUAAAAAAAAGAAGAACUUAAUCUUUUCUGGGUUCAGAAUCAGGGCCAGAUUUAUAUGCUGAACUUUUGAUACAUUUGCAGGUAACACAGCUUUCACCUUCCAUAUUAAUGUCUGAAGGCAUGCCGGUCUACCGUUUUAUUCAGAAUCCCGGGGAGUUUUUAUCUCACCUUCCCUCGGGCAUAUCAUUCUGGCUUCAAUUGCGGCUUCAACUGUGCUGAGGCUGUAAAUGUAGCUCCUGUUGAUUUGUUGCGUCAUAGGAAAAAUGCUGUAGAGCUUUACCGUGAGCAGGGAUGUAAGACAUCAAUUUCUCAUGAUAAGUUGUUACUAGGUGCAGAAAGGGAAGCUGUUAGGGAAAAUUGGGAAAUGUCAUUACUCAGGAAGAACACCAUAGAUAACAUAAGAUGGAAAGAUGUUUGUGGAAAGGAUAACUGCUUGCUACUUGUUAUCUGCCUUGCAUGUUUGUGAAUAGGAGUUCCAGUGUAAAUCUCAUAAGAUCAAUUUUGUAUAUAUCUUAUUUGAUAUAUGUCUUACAAUGGUGGGCACUGCUUAAAAAGUCCACUGGUAUUAAGGUUAUCUGGGUCUUCAAGUGUUUAGAAAAUAUGGGGGAAAAGGAGAUGGAUGCACUAUCGCAGGUUAGUAUGAACUGUUUAGUUCAGUUUCAAUUUUAACCACUCAACAAGCAUAUGGUAUUCAGCAAUAACCACGGGGUAAGAUACAUGAACUGAUCUUUUUUUUUCCUAUUGUAAGUCUUAUUCUGGUUCAGGGGCUCAUGUAAUUGAUAUGUUUUCUAUUGACAGGUUAGUCGUUCAUUGGAUCUCAUUGUUCACUUUUAUAUAUAGUUACAAAGAAGCAUUUCUCUGGGAGCUUUUCAGAUAUUUGUGCUUAUUUUCUCUGGUGAAGUCCAUAGAUCGAGUUUCUUUUGUAACGGAAGCGUUAAGAUUAGGAGAGGUUCAAUUGGAAGAUCUGCCUUCAGAUUAGGAUUUGGAUUUAGUUGCCAGUAUGACUGAUGGGGGUUCAAGAAGUGAUCUCAAGAAACUGUGUGUUCCUCCACACUGUCCAAUAACAGAGAUUCUGGAAAAGGAGGAGAAGGCUGUAGCAUUGGCUGCUGGUAAAUCCCCUUCCACGCUGAGUGUGAGUAUGGAAAAAUGCUUGUGAGCAGACAGGUGCAAGUGUAUCAUCAGAAUCUUUUCAAACAUGUUUGGGCGGGUGCAGUGGAACGAACUUAGUGGUGAAGGUGGUUGCAGAAGGACAAAGCCUCUAAGCUACACUGCAGGAAGCGUGCAAAGAGCUUCAUUUGUUGAUUCGAAGAUAUCUCAUUUCCGUACUUCAGCAUUUGUGUUUGGAUGUUAGCAAACAAAUAUGUUCAAGUUAUUUGUUGCCUUAUUGGCUAUCCAGAAGAGGUGGAUGGAUUUUGUAGUUGAAUUUGUUGUAUUAUGUUUGGAAUAAAAUCCAUAUUUGUUUUUGCAUUA
This is a long non-coding RNA of Papaver somniferum (opium poppy), 2019 nucleotides long. RefSeq lists it as uncharacterized. The transcript is spliced from 7 exons. The record is from RefSeq and is a predicted model, not a curated record. Lineage: Eukaryota; Viridiplantae; Streptophyta; Magnoliopsida; Ranunculales; Papaveraceae.